UACGAAGGGGGCUAGCGUUGCUCGGAAUUACUGGGCGUAAAGGGCGCGUAGGCGGACAGUUUAGUCAGAGGUGAAAGCCCAGGGCUCAACCUUGGAAUUGCCUUUGAUACUGGCUGUCUUGAGUUCGGGAGAGGUGAGUGGAAUGCCGAGUGUAGAGUUGAAAUUCGUAGAUAUUCGGCGGAACACCAGUGGCGAAGGCGACUCACUGGCCCGAUACUGACGCUGAGGCGCGAAAGCGUGGGGAGCAAACAGG
RNAcentral lists this ribosomal RNA (253 nucleotides) under uncultured bacterium. Its description in RNAcentral is "partial 16S ribosomal RNA". It matches the Rfam family "Bacterial small subunit ribosomal RNA", at positions 524 to 776 of the family's 1533-position model. The record is from RNAcentral.